This is a long non-coding RNA of Tribolium castaneum (red flour beetle), 6236 nucleotides long. RefSeq lists it as uncharacterized. The transcript has 2 exons. The record is from RefSeq and is a predicted model, not a curated record. NCBI's taxonomy places the organism in Eukaryota, Metazoa, Arthropoda, Insecta, Coleoptera, Tenebrionidae.
GUAAUUUUACAUUAAAAAUUAACGCACAUUGUGCAUAUUUCUAUUUAUUUUUAUGACGUUAAUAAUAAUAAUAAAGUAACUCGAUAAGUGGCUUUAUCUUUGUUAUCGCGCAGUACUUUACCGCUGGGUCACCCAAUUUGUCAGCCACUUAUUAUGCAUCCACCUGCUUCCUUUUGAUAGAAAACACUCCUGUUGUGAGAAUUCAAAUAGUGGGUUGGUAGUUUUCCAUGUCUGGUACUUACCUACAGUAAAAGGUGUACAGUAAAAGGAAUGGAAAUUCAGUUCUAUUUCUGUUAAUUUUGUUAAUAAAAGAUAAUUAGAAGUGUGGGUGUCUUAUUACUUUAUUAGAUGUGACUCAUUUUUAUUUGACUCAUACAAAUUUUAUUUCAUUAUGACAUAAUAAAAAUGGUAUGAAGAAUGAUCAUGAUCAAAGAUUUAUUUCUGACAAAAAAAUUCGAUAAAAAUCUGUAAUUGAAAACUUGAUAUCUAAUCCAAAGAUUAAACUGAUAAAAGUAAUGCGCACUUGACCUAAAAACACUUACGAUUUUCUCUACUCUACACAGCUACGUCAAGUAUUCUGUACUUGUUGAAAGCAAGUUUUUAGUUUUUUACAAAUGACGGGUAAAAUGUGGACAUAAAAGGAAAAGUUACUUUGCUGUAAAAAUAAAACACCAAGAAAAAUUUGACAAUACUUCUGUAAUUAUUCUAUCUCUGGAACUGCAAAUAUACAGGUGUCCGUUUUUCGAGUUCCACCAUGGGGAUCUCAGUUAUUAUAAGAGAUACAAGGUUGGUUAAAAUAGGGCAAAAUUGCGCAUUUUAUGCUGUAUAAUUAUCUCAAAAAAAAUUUGAUUGAGUUAUUUUUAAUUUUCGUUUUUAUAUUUUUGAGCGAAAAUUAAAAGAACUUGACGUUUUUAAGUGGGACGUUCUUCAGGCACUUAUUUUUACAACAAAUCUAAAUCUGUCAUUACCUUGUCCAAGGCGUUCUUGAUGUAGAGUUACAACAUUUAACUUUAGUUUUUCUUAUGUAUUUUUGAUAAGUCCUUUUGUUCCUGAUUACAAUGAUAUAUCAAUUAAUAUGAUCGAAUCUUACAUGCUAAUUAAAAUUGAGAAAAAAGCAUUUUUGCGAAGAGUGCUUUGGAAAAAACGUCAACAAUUUUGUUUUUAAACAAACUAGAUUUUGGAGGUUUAAUUGAAUUUAGAUUUAGAAGGUUUAUAUUUCCGCCAAGCUUACUUAUUUAAAAACGACAGGAUAAGUUGGAAGUUUAUUCCUUGCAAAACAAAAUAAAAAAAAGUUAUAAAAAUUCUGCUCGCAUAUUUAAUAGAACUACCAAAAAGUUUGUUAAACAAAAUUCUUGGUGUUUUUUUUUUUAAAAACGUCAAAACAGUUCUAAUAAAUAUGUGGGCAGAGUUUUUAUAACUUUGUUUUGCUUUGUUUUGCGAAGAAUAAAAUUCUAGCUUAUCAUGUCGUUUAACUUCUAAAUAAGUAAGCUUGGCGGAAAAGUGAACCUUCCAGAACCAAAUUCAAUUAAACCUCAAUCUAGUUUGCUUAAAAACAAAAUUGUUGACGUUUUUUCCAAAGCACUCUUCGCAAAAAUGUUUUCUCUCCAUUUUGACCAGCAUGUAAGAUUCGAUCAUAUCAUGUGAUACACCGUUGUAAUCAGGAAUAAAAACGGUUUUGAAAAAUACAUAAAGCGAAUAUGGCUUCCAUAAGAAAAACCAAAGUUGAGUGUUGUAACUAUGACAUCAAGAACGCCUUGGAAAAUACGAUGACGAUGCCUUGUAGAAAAGUGCUUGAAGAACGUCCUAGUGAAGAACGUUUAGUUCUUUUAGUUUUUGCUUGAAAAAAUAAAAACGAAAAUUAAAAAUUUCCGUUUUUUUUUUUCAAAUAAUUUAAAUAAUAAAAAGGAAAAUUAACUAAACUAAAAAUGACAAAAUUUUCAUUUAGAUAAUUGUUCAGCAUAAAGAUGCGCAACUUAGCCCUAAUUUAACCGACCUUUACCUGAGAUUCCCAUGGUAGAUCUCGAAAAAUGCACAGCCUGUAUGUCAUAUAGUUUUGUGAUACCAUGCAUUCAAUUAAAUUUCUGAUUGUGAAAUUAUGUUUGUAAACAAAUAAUUCAUAUAUAAUAACGACCCUUACAAAAAUAAGAUGCAAUCAAAAUUCGUACAUUUUCCAUACUCAUUUAAACUUGCUUCUUUUUUUAGGCAUACUUGCUCAAGUCAUAAUUUUGGUGAAAAAAAUUGGAAGCAGCUCUAUCUGUGGCCACAAAUUGUGUUUGUUGUUCUUCUAACAUAACGGUUUUAAUGUUAAAAGUUUUGUCAAAACUUAGACUCUAGUAAAUUUUAUGGUGAAAAAUGAACUUCUCAUUCAAAAAGUUUAAUAAAAAAGGCGUUUAUACCAAAAAAGUUAUUCGCUGAAGCAUACAGCUUUAGUUUCAAAAUUGGCACAUUUUCAAUUCCUUCGUCAAACACUGUGCAAUUAGACACUUUUUUUUAUCGCUGUCUGUCUCAUUCAUAAAUUCAGGAUGAUCCUGCAUUUUUGUCACUUUUUUAAUGUAUGUGUUAGUACCUAUUGCAUCUCUGUUUCUGUGUUUUUGUCUUCAAAUUUUCAUAGAGGAUUUUUUGCAGAUGUUGACAUUUUUUUCAAAAUAAAUCAAAAUCCAAAACCCAAUUUGACAACUUUUUAAUAUUAAUAAAAUUAUUACGAAUUAACUUGCUGAUGGUGCCAAUGUAAAACUGUUUGACACGUCCGCUAAAAAAGAACAGAUUUGAUUAAGAAUGUAUAGUCACCGAUCAAAAAGAAUGGCACCCUUACCAACCGACUCAUAAAUUUCAACAAACAGGUUAGUUUACAAACUAUGCAGUUAGUUUACAUAAUAUUCAGCUAGUUUAUAAAUUAUCCAAACAUGCGCAUUAACCAUAUCACGUCGAAAAGUUCUGUAGGUGCAGUUUUAGGGGUGACAUACUUUUUGAUCGUAACUGUACAAUUGGUUGCAAAAAAACGCAAAAUAGGAUAUUAAUAUCCGUAGUAUCUUUAUUUCUAUCUUUCUUUAUUUUGAUGUUGAAAAAUAAAAACAAAGUCCAAUCCAAGUAAAAAAAUGUAAUAUUCAGAAAAGAAUGUUAAAACAGAGCGCUUUCGGGAUUACAAUUUUCCCAUCAAAGGGGCUGCUAACAGAGAGAAAAAUAAAUUACAAUUACAGAUCAAAAUUUCUGAAAAACACAAAUAUAUCUGGUCCGACCCCAUAGAAAAACUUUUAUAGGAUGAGGACAUCCACUAUUAGCUUUUUAUUUCAAAACUAUAAAAACGCCAACGUCGGAUUAUUUUUUAAAUAAGUUUCAUAAAAUUGUAAAAUAGUUAUUAUUGAUUAGAUCUCUUAUUGAAAGUAUAGAAUACAUCAGCUAUUAUUCUUUUGAAGUGCACGAAUAUUGUAUAACGGCCAAUUUUGAGUCAAAAUGCGACGUUGGCGUUUUUAUAGUUUUGAAACAACUAAUAGUUCAAUAAAUUAGAGAGACUCAAGAAAAUUUAAGUGUGACCUUUGUUAUAAAUAUGAAGAAUUUUAAGUUGGAAUCUGGAGUAUUUGAUAUAUAGUUUGGCCCGCGUUGCAAUCAUUGUGAACCAAAAGAGAAGAAAAACUACCAGAUGAACUAAAGGAAGUGUGGAUACCAUGCCUGUUUAAAAUGUGAGCCAAUAAAAGAGAAAUAUUGCCAACGAAUGACAGGGGUAAUCUCUGGGAAGAGUGAGAGAACAAAACCGAGGGACAAGUUGCAUAGAUGACGUGUAAUUGAGAACUGCAUGUGUGUUUAAAUUUAUGAAAGAUUUUGUGUAAAUAAUCAAGAGCAACUUCAUUAUUGAUCGCUAUCUGUUUAUUAAUGAUGUCCCAUUGCUUCUUGAAAGUAUUCUUUCUUGUUGAGAGAUAUUUUGAAAAUACGGUAAAUGAGGAAUCCUAUGUGGGAAAAAAUGUCUAGAAGAAAAAAGGGUUUUUUAAUCGCGAUUUUCUUAGAAGUUCUGUAAACCAGCCCUAUGUAUUUUUAAAAAGAAGAAACAGUAUAUUUUGGAAAAAAACUAUAUUAAAAUACAAAAAUAAACAAUAGGUCCAGUAACAAAAAAUAUUUCAGUUCUUCCUCCCUGAGCCUGUAACUGAUCCAUUCUUUUUUCCACUGGAGGAGACACUUUUGGGACUUGCGUUCACUGAUCCAUUCUUCUUAUCACUUGUGUCAUUCUUAGGACUUGCUUUAGCUUCAGGACUCUUGAUCCCAUCUCCCAUUCCGCCAUUUUCCUCACAAACAGGCUUCUUCACGCAAGGACAUCGACAAACACACUUUUGAUCACCUUCCUUACUAUGAUCACUUCUUGCUGUUGGUAGAUCUUGUAUGACUUCAUCUUUCGUUUCACUCUUUUGUUCUUUCGGUGGUUCGGCUUCUUCUGCAAUUUUGACUUUGGAAGGUUGAAUCAAAUCUUGUGGGCACUUCCAUAUAAAGAUACUGCCAGAACCACUGGUCGUCACAAUAUAUUUCUGGUCUGGACUGAACCGAGCUGCUGUAAUGACAGCAGAAUGGCCAAUUCCAAUAUGAGUAGCAAUACCUAAAAAUGAAUUCCAGGUGUUGGUACCUAUGAAAGUAUAUUUCAUGGUAUUACCAAGUUGGUAAUUCCAAAGUUUGACGAUUUGGUCGUUUCCUCCAGUCACAAAAAUGUUGCCAUCUAGUGAUAUGUCCAGGGCGUUGAUGGCACCAGACUCGGAACCCUCCACUUCGCGCACAAGAGUACCAUCAAGCACCUCCCAGUAUGAGAGUUUCCGGUCGGAACCACCCGUCAAAACUUGCACAUCCGUGGGAUAGUACCGAGCGCACAUAAACAACGUGGUUCCAAACAUAAUAUGCCGACGACAUUGGCGUACCAAAUCCCAAAUAAUACAAGUACCAUCAGUACUGGCACUGACUGCUUCGGUACCAGCUUUGUUAAUAUCGACGGCAGAAACUGGAGCUUUGUGUUCUUUCAAAGUACAAAUCAACUGUUGGCGAUAAGGCGUAACUGACCACAUUCUGACCUAAACAUAUAUUUUUUUUUCUGAUAAAAACUCUCAUUAAGUUGUUAAACUGACUUGUCCUUCGCAACCUCCGCUAACUAAAACAUCGCCUUCAUGUGUGAUUGCCAAAGCUGAAACCCCUUUAUUGUGGGCGUUCAGAAUGGCGUAAAUCAGUCUUCCGGUUAGAGGAGUGAAAGAUCGGAUUAUUCCAUCAUUCCAAGCCGUCAAGAUCGAUUUACCAUCGUGUGAGAAUAAGACGCUAGAGGCACUAAAAUUUGGUACUUGGAUGCGAAGGAGUUCUUGGUGAGUUUUGAUCGACCAAACACGGACGUCGUUUUUACUAGCUGUGGCAAAUACAUCAGAAAAGUUGCUGAAAGUCCAAAAAGUACAAAAUUAAUAGAAAAGGCACCAAAAAAUUGAAAUAAAUUAAGCAUUGUAAAAAUUUAAAUUAUAUGCGAUUUUGAUCAACGAAGGGAAAUUUUUGCGUAAUCCAAAGGCACGUUUGAUGCAUUUCAAUUUUUUAUACACUCGUAGAUAUUUAUGUUCCUUCAACAUCUAUUCCACAUUUCUCUAGUAUCACGAUCCUUUAAAAAAUCUGCCCCUAAUUUCUUAAAAGUUUCUAAGUCAUUUCAGGUCAUUUAGAUAGUUGAAAUAAUGAUUGUUUCAACUAUCUCAACACUUGAAUCCAACAUUUGUUGAACUUUAUCAGCUUUAUGAACCUGCAAUUUGCAGUAAGUAUUAUUUUUGUAGAAACACAGCUUUUCUUUGUUUUCCUUUUUGUUUUUUUACAGUGUUAUUUUAUUUAUUGUUUUUGGGUCUUCUUAUUUUUUUCACAAAAUUGUUUGGAACAUAAUUUUUGUUGAAAAUAUGAUGGAUUAAUUGAAAUAUUCUCAUCAUCAUACAUGCUCGUUCUUUGAAUUUUCUAAACUAUCAAGGUUAUAAACCUCCAAUAAAAGAACCAUCAAAUGGGUACCUGGAAUGGAUCAACCACUUUGGGUCUGGGUGAAAUUGAACAGACUAAGAACGGCCAUGCCAGAUGUAAGUCAAUGUUGUUUAAAUGGAAGGCUACAGAAAAUCCAUAUUGCCAAUGUGGUCAGGUGGAAGAAACUGUUCAACUGUUGAAGAAUGCUGAAUUACAAGUUUUUAAGGAGGCUUUAAUGAAAUUCAUAAAAGUUUUGUAAUUUCUUUUAUGUACAAUGUAUUAUUAUCCUCUUU